Molecule: transfer RNA, 77 nt
Filed under: Alphaproteobacteria bacterium
Lineage: Bacteria; Pseudomonadati; Pseudomonadota; Alphaproteobacteria
Description: tRNA-Pro
Rfam family: tRNA
About the family: Transfer RNA (tRNA) molecules are approximately 80 nucleotides in length. Their secondary structure includes four short double-helical elements and three loops (D, anti-codon, and T loops).
Source: RNAcentral
GGAGCGUGGCGCAGUCUGGUUAGCGCACUUGUCUGGGGGACAAGGGGUCGGCGGUUCGAAUCCGCCCGCUCCGACCA